Molecule: ribosomal RNA, 254 nt
Filed under: uncultured bacterium
Lineage: Bacteria
Description: partial 16S ribosomal RNA
Rfam family: Bacterial small subunit ribosomal RNA
Source: RNAcentral
UACGGAGGAUCCAAGCGUUAUCCGGAAUUACUGGGCGUAAAGAGUUGCGUAGGCGGCAGAGUAAGCAGAGUUUGAAAUCGUGUGGCUCAACCAUACAUCCAAUCUUUGAACUGCUCAGCUAGAGGAUGAGAGAGGUGGCUGGAAUUCCCAGUGUAGGAGUGAAAUCCGUAGAUAUUGGGAGGAACACCGAUGGCGUAGGCAGGCCACUGGCUCAUUCCUGACGCUCAGGCACGAAAGCGUGGGGAGCGACCGGG